Molecule: unclassified non-coding RNA, 345 nt
Filed under: soil metagenome
Description: partial contains 5.8S ribosomal RNA, internal transcribed spacer 2, and large subunit ribosomal RNA
Rfam family: 5.8S ribosomal RNA (bases 1-120)
Source: RNAcentral
GAUGAAGAACGCAGCAAAAUGCGAUAAGUAAUGUGAAUUGCAGAAUUCAGUGAAUCAUCGAAUCUUUGAACGCACAUUGCGCCCGCUGGUAUUCCGGCGGGCAUGCCUGUUCGAGCGUCAUUUCAACCCUCAAGCCCCCGGGUUUGGUGUUGGGGAUCGGCUCUGCCCUUCUGGGCGGUGCCGCCCCCGAAAUACAUUGGCGGUCUCGCUGCAGCCUCCAUUGCGUAGUAGCUAACACCUCGCAACUGGAACGCGGCGCGGCCAUGCCGUAAAACCCCAACUUCUGAAUGUUGACCUCGGAUCAGGUAGGAAUACCCGCUGAACUUAAGCAUAUCAAUAAGCGGA